Molecule: unclassified non-coding RNA, 423 nt
Filed under: soil metagenome
Description: partial contains 5.8S ribosomal RNA, internal transcribed spacer 2, and large subunit ribosomal RNA
Rfam family: 5.8S ribosomal RNA (bases 1-120)
Source: RNAcentral
GAUGAAGAACGUAGUGAAAUGCGAUAAGUAAUGUGAAUUGCAGAUUUCAGUGAAUCAUCGAAUCUUUGAACGCACCUUGCGCCUUGUGGUAUUCCACAAGGCAUGCCCGUUUGAGUAUCAUUAAAUCAUCAACUCUAAAACCUUUGUGGUUUUUUUAGAGCUUGGUCUUGAGGGUUUUGCAGGCUUUUUUUUUUUUCGAGUCUGCUCCCUUUAAAUGCAUUAGCGAGACUUCCCUAUGCUGAACCGUCUCUUUGACGUGAUAAUUAUCUGCGUCGAAUUUUGGUUCUCGUUGGGCUUGCUUCUAAUCGUCUGUUAAAGACAAAACGGAUUUGGGUGCAUAUAUGCGCCUUUUUCCAAAACCUUUUUUGAUCUCAAAUCGGGUAGGACUACCCGCUGAACUUAAGCAUAUCAAUAAGCGGAGGA